This 21-nucleotide microRNA is filed under the name Fasciola hepatica (liver fluke). RNAcentral's name for it is "fhe-miR-2e". Its record names the gene fhe-miR-2e. Lineage: Eukaryota; Metazoa; Platyhelminthes; Trematoda; Plagiorchiida; Fasciolidae. The record is from miRBase by way of RNAcentral.
GUAUCACAGUCCAAGCUUUGG